RNAcentral lists this ribosomal RNA (346 nucleotides) under uncultured eukaryote. RNAcentral's name for it is "SSU rRNA". It matches the Rfam family "Eukaryotic small subunit ribosomal RNA", at positions 594 to 945 of the family's 1831-position model. The record is from RNAcentral.
AUAGCGUAUAUUAAAGUUGUUGCAGUUAAAAAGCUCGUAGUUGAACCUUGGGCCUGGCUGGCCGGUCCGUCUCAUCGCGUGUACUGGUCCGGCUGGGCCUUUCCUUCUGGCUAGGCACAUGCCCUUUACUGGGUGUGUGUCCGAACCAGGACUUUUACUUUGAAAAAAUUAGAGUGUUCAAAGCAGGCAUAUGCUCGAAUACAUUAGCAUGGAAUAAUAAAAUAGGACGUGUGGUUCUAUUUUGUUGGUUUCUAGAGCCGCCGUAAUGAUUAAUAGGGAUAGUCGGGGGCAUCAGUAUUCAAUUGUCAGAGGUGAAAUUCUUGGAUUAAUUGAAGACUAACUACUG